Molecule: ribosomal RNA, 467 nt
Filed under: uncultured bacterium
Lineage: Bacteria
Description: partial 16S ribosomal RNA
Rfam family: Bacterial small subunit ribosomal RNA
Source: RNAcentral
GACGAACGCUGGCGGCGUGCUUAACACAUGCAAGUCGAACGGAAAGGCCCUGCUUUUGUGGGGUGCUCGAGUGGCGAACGUGUGAGUAACACGUGAGUAACCUGCCCUUGACUUUGGGAUAACUUCAGGAAACUUGGGCUAAUACCGGAUAGUAGCUCCUGCUGCAUGGUGGGGGUUGGAAAGUUUCGGCGGUUGGGGAUGGACUCGCGGCUUAUCAGCUUGUUGGUGGGGUAGUGGCUUACCAAGGCUUUGACGGGUAGCCGGCCUGAGAGGGUGACCGGCCACAGUGGGACUGAGAUACGGCCCAGACUCCUACGGGAGGCAGCAGUGGGGAAUAUUGCACAAUGGGCGGAAGCCUGAUGCAGCAACGCCGCGUGCGGGAUGACGGCCUUCGGGUUGUAAACCGCUUUCGCCUGUGACGAAGCGUGAGUGACGGUAAUGGGUAAAGAAGCACCGGCUAACUACGU